Molecule: long non-coding RNA, 2367 nt
Organism: Oreochromis niloticus (Nile tilapia)
Lineage: Eukaryota; Metazoa; Chordata; Actinopteri; Cichliformes; Cichlidae
Source: Ensembl
AUGGAUACGUCUGUAGAGGAGCUGCAGGAUUCCUUCAAGAGACUCACAGCAGAGGGCUCCAAAGUGAUUGACGUGAAUGAGGAGCUUGAGGCCACCUACAUCACGCAGUGUGAAGCAGAGGGCACACCGGAGCUGAUGGGCCAACAGAGAGCAGAUGUCGAGAAAAUGGAGAAAGAAUGUGAGCAGAAGUUGAAGGAGGCGAAGCACCUGAUCAGAGAGACCCUGUGGACAUCAUAUGGUGAAAGAGAACUGACCCUUGCUCUAAAAUCAGCAGAAAUGGAGUGUGAGAACGUCUCAUCCACUCAGCCUGAUGCACCCCUGGAGGCAUAUGAUUUUAUGCUCCACCAUCUAGAACUGGUGAAGAAAGCUAAGCAGGCACACCAGACAUGGAACCGCAGGACUCCACCUGCUGAGAGGCGAGAUUGUGAUCGUCGACUAAUGGAGCUCGAAACCUGCCUUCCAAAGCUUGUGUCAGGGAAAGCAGCCCUGAUCAAAGCAGAGAGAAUUAAAAGAGAUGCCGACCAAGCAGUUGUCACAGUCCGCAACGCAGCCCCGGUCUCAGCCAUAAAACUGAAAGCCACAGCUUUACCAAAGUUCACCGGCAGCCAGCGUGAGUUCUACAGAUGGCGGAAGGAAUGGGAGGCUCUGCAAAAGCAAGGUGAACCAACCGGGUCCAUGGAAGUAAAGAAAUUCCAACUUCUCGAUAGCCUCGAUGAUAAAGUGGCCAAAGAUCUGCGCCUGUCCACAUACACCUCGGCAGAUGAGAUCUUCAGAGUCCUUGAGAACUGCUAUGGAAAUCAAGCCACCAUCGCCAUUGAAAUCAUUGAGGAGCUUCAAGCUAUCCCUCCUGUCCGUAGCAACCAGCCUAGAAGAAUAAUAGAGCUUAUCCACGCAGUUGAAAAGGCCCUCUAUGAUUUAAAUGAGCUGGAUAAAGCAAAUGCCAUGAAGAACCUAUUAGUAAUAAAGUCUAUUGAAAGCAAGCUGCCUGAGUCCCUAAAGAAAGACUGGCUUACCCACGCUGCUGAUCCAAAGAAUGCUGUGACUCAUCAGAAUCAGUUUGACAAGCUGCUCGCCUACCUCCAAUCUCAAGAGUCCAUCUACGAGCAGUUAGACCAGCUGAGAGACAUCGACCCUGCCAAGGAGAGAACAAAGUUCCCAAUAAAGUACGCCCGUACCAAGUCAGUUAAAUCCAGUACUGAUCCAGCAGGCUGCAUCAUCUGUGGGGACCCGAAACACAAGAGAAAGCUCUACAUCUGCAGACGGUUUAGAACCAACACAAAGUUACAGGAGAAAAAAGAUGCAGUGCAGCAACUUGGAGCCUGCAAGAGGUGCCUCGAGAUCCACGACGAACCCUGCAGAAAGACGACUUACCUGUGCCGAAAUCCAGAGUGCAAAGACCAGCAUCAUUACCUUCUUUGUCCCUUGCCACGACCCUUAUCACAAAGGUCCAAGUCUGGUCCGGUGAGAGCUGAGAGGAGGAGGUACACAGAGGUUCAAGAAGAGUUCAUCUCUAAACUAUCGCCAGAGCUAGCACAGCAGUGUCGGGAAGCUUUCUGCAACAUCUCAUCACGAGCCUUCAACUCCAUGGCAGCAGAGAGAGGUCUACUGGAGGAGACUGGUCUAAAAGAGUACCCUGUGAUUCUGAUGCUCCUUGACGUCAUUGCCAGUGAUGGACAGAGAAUUGGGACACUAAUUGAUCUAGCAUCUGACACAAAUUACAUAAACCACAAAGCUGCAAGUAAGCUCAACCUUCGCAGUGAAGACGUCAUGCUUGUCAUCCACGGUGUCGGAGGUAUGAAGGUGUCUGUGGCAACCAAGCGCUACCUUCUCAAGAUCCGUGUCAACACCUCGAGAGGAACUUUAAAGCCUCACCAGUUAGUCUGCUAUGGUCUUGACAAGAUUGCUGAAGUGAAAAGACACGUUCCACCUCAGAAGCUACAGAAGAUCUUCCCGGACGUCCCGCUCCGAGACCUCGUCAGACCCAGGGAGAUCCAGCUUCUAAUCAGCCAUAAAGAAGGCCAGCUGGUGCCCAAAAAGAUCCGCUCCAUCGGUGACCUGGUGCUCUGGGACGGUCCACUUGGCAAGACAAUCGGGGGCACGCAUCCAGACCUCUUUGAGGAAGUCACCUUGAUGGCCCACACCUCCAAGACUCACUUCGCAAGAUCAAUGAGAGCUGCUGCAUUCAAGUACCAAGAGUUCACUAAAGACCUGGCUUCCUGUCAGCAUCCUGGUCACCCUGAGACUCUAUCCACCACAGCUACCAGCAGCAGAGACUUUCUGAAGUGGUGGAGGUGGGAAAGCAUCGGAGCCGCUUGCCAGCCGAGAUGUGGAGGGUGUCGUUGUGGGAACUGCCAGCCAGGGGGGUAA